This 254-nucleotide unclassified non-coding RNA is filed under the name Hevea brasiliensis (rubber tree). The record is from RNAcentral. Lineage: Eukaryota; Viridiplantae; Streptophyta; Magnoliopsida; Malpighiales; Euphorbiaceae.
AAAAAAGGGGAAAUGUCUUCUUCUUCUUCAAAAAAGGUCCCCAUCUCUCUCUCACUUCUCUCUCUCAAAACUCCAUUGAAACCCCAUUUCCAAGCUCUUGUGAACCCAAAAAUCAGCCAUAAAACUUGUAGGUUUCUUAAUUAAAUUUUGUCUUUGGACCUUGCUAAGCAACCUAGGAGCAAAAAGAAGAAAGGAAUCAAAGGUUUGGGAAGAGGGAAAAACUCUAAUUGAGGUAAGUGAUUGAAUUUGAAAAU